CCACCCUUGGCCAGCACAGCGCUGCAGGCUUGAAUACUGGCACUUCCAGUUCCAUGUUUAUCUUUGGACACAGAAGGAAAAAUGUCACUGGAAGACUCAGCAAUAUUGCAAGUUUAAGAGUAUUGUAAGUGCCUGGUGGAACAACUUGAGAAGCAAAGAUGUUGGCCAGGACAGCACUAAACCUCCAGCGUGAACUUGAAGUCAGUGAGAGCAGAUACUUAAAAUUGUCACUGACAAAAGAAGGACCUAAUGGAAACAAAGUACAGGUGAACAAACACAUUAAAGAAACCUGUGCAGGUAAGUUAGAACAAAUCACCAUUGAAUUCUUGAUACAAAAGCUUACCAAGAACAAGUAUAUCUUUAUAUUAAGCACAAAUUCAGAAUUUAAGCAUCUGACACUGUUAAUUUUGCUUGUAAAAAGGUAGCAGACAUGAUCUGUUAGAAUUGAUUGCAACAAGAAAGGGAAAACAAACUGGAAUAUCAGGUUCAUUUUAUAUGAUUACAACGUACUUUCCAAUGGAUAGGAGAAGAUGGAAAGAGAAGUUGAAGAACUACUACAUAAUUAGGGAGUUUGCCAAUGUAUGGAAAGCGGGCAAAAGCAGAUAUUCUCAAAUAACAGCAAGUACACAUUUCAGACUGUAAGAGGAAAGUCCCUGAGUGGUUUUAUAUUCUGGACCUCUAGAUAAUAAAAAACACUGCUAAUUCUCAAGAGUUUUUUCUAGGAGGUUUUCCAAGGUUUAAGUCAAUUUUAAUGGAACUUUCUUACCAUUUGGUUUAUAGAGCUGUACACUAUUGACUUCUAUACAUGCAGUCAUUUGUAGGCCGUUUUGUACACAAGCUGGAAUUCCUAUAAUCCUGUAGUGGUUUCCUAUUAUCAUUUUAUUGGCCAGUUCAUCUGCAAAUAAUAAAAAACUAAGUGCAGGGGGCAAAGCUACAGAUAUGUUAGGGCAUAGAAACAGUUUUAAAGACAUGGUCAGAAAACUUCUACACAUUCUGAACGUUUGAUUUUAUGUUUUAACAUUGGCAGAAAACAGCUGGAGGCCAGAUUAAUAAUGGACUAGAAUAAAAUGAAACAUACAAUUUUAAUUAUUUAGUGCAAAAGAUAAGGAAGGCACACCAGGUUAGGGAAAAUAAAUUUCAUGAUAAAGAAAAAUGACAAUGCAUUUAGUCCUGCAUUGAAAAGCAAAUGGAUAGUUUUUUGCAAGUAUAUUUCCUACUCUGAAGUUUGUGGCAUCACCAUUAUCAGUCACAAUAUCAUUAUAGGACAUAUGUCCUAUAAAAUGUCAGAGAAAAAACCCAAGACCAUAAAAAGGAGAUCCAAACUACACAGAUUUCAAAAAGACCCACAAAUAGCUUUGUGAACCUUUAUAUUUUUGUGCACCUUAAGAAACCAAAUCCCAUUUAUUUUUUGAAAAUGAGAAUUAGAUCCAACCAGAUCUCAAUCUCAGCCUGAGAAACACUGUAAGCACACUGAGCACUAGAGCCAGCAGAAAUUUACUGCAUGCAACUCUCAGUAUCUUGACCAUAGAUUGUUCUAUAAAUUUUUAUUAUAAUUUUACUACUACUCAUUCUUUCUAUUUAGUUUUCAAUAAAUGAACCAUAUAAUUCCAUAGACUUUUGAAAUGGAUGAGGAUUUUUUGUUGCUUGUCUCCGUGUUUGUUUGGGGGUCUUAAGAAUUAAUGGAAGUACAUUGCUGAGUUGUGAUUUUAGUUAUGUAUUAACAUUAGAAAUCAUUUAAUGUUUGUGGUGGAUGGCAGUGGUAGUAGAAGCCAAAAAUCCUGAUGGAAUGUGGAAAACAGCUAGAUUGAGGAAGGAUGUUAAAUAUACAUGAAGUUAGUACAGAACAGCAUGACCAAAGGAAGUAGAAAGGAGGAAAAAACAGGCAACAGUUAGAAUAAUACACUGCUGAGCUGGCCAGGGGAUUUUAAUUAAAUGGAGGUGUAAAGGUAACACAAGAAUUUUUCUAUGUACGCUCCGCAAUCACCUGUGCACACUGCUUUGUCACCUAGCUAUUUUUUAUAAUUAAUUAAUUUAUAAUUAAGGGGAGUAGCACAGAAAGAACUGCAAUGUAAAUAAUGACUUUCACCAUUUUAGAAAAAGAAAAAAAAAUAGAGCUACACUUGCAAGGUAUUAUUAUAGAUGAAUUCUAAAACAUUUUGACAGAACUCUGAAGUUCAGCUUACCUCUCAAGAACAAUGUAAAUGCCUGAAUCCUAAAGUGUGAUUUAUCAAUGGAAUAUCCUUUCAAAGCAUUCAGAAUUUUAGCAUCAAUCAUUUCAACUAUUUGUUUAUCUUUCAAAACAAAGGCAAAGAAAAAGGUUAAUUCUCUUGAAAACAUCUCUUUUAAAAAAGACUGGUGUAUUUUAAGUGGGCUUUUCCCACUUAAAUAUUUUGUUUGCUUGUUGUAUAACAGAAGGAGGAAACUACCAGAUCUAGAAGUAAGAUUACAUAGAUCCUACCACCAAGUACUCUAAAUUUCAUGUCUUCCUGCAGUGGUGAAGAACACAAGCUACACACAAAAUCAGUCCUCACUGUAGCAGACUCUGUAGCUCCAGGACAAUGCACUCUGAUGCACCUAAACCCUAAAAAAAAAGGCAACAAUUUACCAACCAUUUAAAAGGAGGGCAUAGCUUUAGCUUUAGAUUUCCCAUGAAGAACAGAAGCAAUUAAAAUACUGGACAGUGAAAUUCUACAUUUAUUACUUGUUUCUUCAGAUGAGCCUCCCUUACAUAUGCCACUAAAAUAACCCAUCUAAUUUACUGUGUUUGGCCACGAGAUGGCAGCUUCCCACUGCACAUUCCCAAGAUGAACAGCUUGGCAGGCCUUUCUUGAGGAGUGAGCCACUUCUGCCUGGCGUGGGAAUGACAUAUGGAUAGUCACUAUGAGAGAAGAAGCAAAAAAACAGCCUUAAAAGUAGCGCCUUAGGGCCUCUCUCUGCAAUGGGGCAAGCAGCUCAGUAAUGCUACUCAAAGCAGUCUUUCCACAGAAGCCGGCUACUCAUCAAAGCACCACUUGUUCUAUGCCAGAAGCUUUUGCUUGUUCUGUGGUAUUUUUUUAUAGACAAACAGUUUCCAAGGAAAAAGGUAUGUUGCUAGUUUAGCUUACUUACUUUUGAGAUAUUUUAUUGCUAUUUAAGAUAUUUAAAUAUUAAGUUAUUUAAGAUAUUAAAUAUAUUGAAGUUCUACACGUGACUUAUGUUUUCUCCUAUAAACUAUCUUCAGCAUAAGGAAAAGGGACUGCUGGCAUAGCUGUUCUUCCAAAACAUUUAAUAAUGCUGAGCAAGUCCACUGCUUUCAAUUAACACAAAUCCUGCUCUGUUCAUUACAAAAAUGUAUGCAUAAUAAAACUGUAUAGGAAAAUACCUUUGUUAGGCUAGGUUUUUAAUGUCUUAUUACCAAAUUUAUUUAAAAGCUUUUGAAAUACUACUGAUUAAUUUUUAUAUUUCUUACUACCUUCAGAGAAUGGACAGGUUUCCU
Long non-coding RNA from Pyrgilauda ruficollis (rufous-necked snowfinch), 3475 nucleotides. RefSeq lists it as uncharacterized. The record is from RefSeq and is a predicted model, not a curated record. Lineage: Eukaryota; Metazoa; Chordata; Aves; Passeriformes; Passeridae. The transcript has 3 exons.